Long non-coding RNA from Fundulus heteroclitus (mummichog), 531 nucleotides. RefSeq lists it as uncharacterized. The transcript has 4 exons. The record is from RefSeq and is a predicted model, not a curated record. Lineage: Eukaryota; Metazoa; Chordata; Actinopteri; Cyprinodontiformes; Fundulidae.
GGCUACACACGGGAGGGGCGGAGCUACAGAGUGCAGUUUGCCUCUGGAGAGAGUCGACACUUUGCCACGGUCAGCAAGCCAGCAGUUCGUAGGUUCUGCGCAGCGACUCGUCAGCUUCCAGACUCUGGUAGUAGUUUCCAUAAGGCGCCAACUGGAGGGUGGAGGUGUCCGUAAAGAUCUCUGGUGCAUCCUGAUUGGCCUGCAAGCAGCAGGAUUCCCGUCUUCAGUUCUGACAGUUUGGGGGAGAUCUGGUUCCUCGGCGAAGAGCCUCCGGACAGAGAACGGCUCGGAAACUCCCAGGAUUCCACCAAACGAUAGGAGAUCGAUAGCAGCUUCAGAACCUAGAACCAAUCAGUGCAAACGAGAUCAGUAAAAGGUUCAGGACCUAGAACCGCUCCACUAACAGCAGGACCCUAGAACCAAAGGACCUACAUGAGGACACCAGCUUCAGAACCUUAUUCUUAGUCCGUGUCCAGCAGCAAUGGUCCGAUGUUGAUGUUCUGAAAGUGCCUUUUAAAUAAAGUUGAUUUG